GUGCUCACCUUGGUAGCAUAUAUAUUAAAAUUAGAAUGAUACAGAGAAGAUUAGCAUGGCCCCUGCAAAAGGAUGACAUGUAAAUUCAUAAGACGUUCCAUAUUUUU
RNAcentral lists this small nuclear RNA (107 nucleotides) under Aotus nancymaae (Ma's night monkey). Lineage: Eukaryota; Metazoa; Chordata; Mammalia; Primates; Aotidae. The record is from RNAcentral.